RNAcentral lists this ribosomal RNA (460 nucleotides) under uncultured bacterium. Its description in RNAcentral is "partial 16S ribosomal RNA". It matches the Rfam family "Bacterial small subunit ribosomal RNA", at positions 338 to 795 of the family's 1533-position model. The record is from RNAcentral.
CCUACGGGUGGCUGCAGUGAGGAAUAUUGGUCAAUGGGCGCGAGCCUGAACCAGCCAAGUAGCGUGAAGGAUGACUGCCCUAUGAGUUGUAAACUUCUUUUAUAAGGGGAUAAACUGAGGCACGCGUGCCUUUUUGUAUGUACUGUACGAAUAAGGAUCGGCUAACUCCGUGCCAGCAGCCGCGGUAAUACGGAGGAUCCAAGCGUUAUCCGGAUUUAUUGGGUUUAAAGGGUGCGUCGGCGGAUUGAUAAGUUAGAGGUGAAAUGUCCGGGCUUAACUUGGGAAUUGCCUCUAAUACUGUUCAUCUAGAGAGUAGAUGCGGUAGGCGGAAUGUAUGGUGUAGCGGUGAAAUGCUUAGAGAUCAUACAGAACACCGAUUGCGAAGGCAGCUUACCAAUCUAUAUCUGACGUUGAGGCACGAAAGCGUGGGGAGCAAACAGGAUUAGAUACCCCAGUAGUC